Molecule: ribosomal RNA, 468 nt
Filed under: uncultured bacterium
Lineage: Bacteria
Description: partial 16S ribosomal RNA
Rfam family: Bacterial small subunit ribosomal RNA
Source: RNAcentral
GACGAACGCUGGCGGCGUGCCUAACACAUGCAAGUCGAACGGAAAGGCCCUGCUCUUGUGGGGUGCUCGAGUGGCGAACGGGUGAGAAACACGUGAGUAACCUGCCCUUGACUUUGGGAUAACUUCAGGAAACUGGGGCUAAUACCGGAUAGGAGCUCCUGCUGCAUGGUGGGGGUUGGAAAGUUUCGGCGGUGGGGGAUGGACUCGCGGCUUAUCAGCCUGUUGGUGGGGUAGUGGCUUACCAAGGCUUUGACGGGUAGCCGGCCUGAGAGGGUGACCGGCCACCUUGGGACUGAGAUACGGCCCAGACUCCUACAGGAGGCAGCAGGGGGGAAUAUUACACAAUAGGCGGAAGCCUGAUGCAGCAACGCCGCGUGCGGGAUGACGGCCUUCGGGUUGUGAACCGCUUUCGCCUGUGACGAAGCGUGAGUGACGGUAAUGGAUAAAGAAGCACCGGCUAACUACGUG